UAAAUUGGUUGUGUUUUGCACUUUUCCCUUUUUUUUUCAUUUCGUUUUCCCCUUUUUGGGAAACUGUAUCAUGAAUCUAACUAGUGAACUCAAAAACUAAUAGAUUGAGAGUGGAUUUUUUUAAGCUUUCAGCUAAUUAUUUUGUGAGUGUGAAGAGAAAUUAGAUUAAAAUUUCAUGAAUUUUGCUUUAAAUUUAUUCUAUUGAGUCAUAAAUCAAUACUAGUAGUAGUAUUUUUCAUCCAACAAGAAAGUAACUCCAAUUCUUCAUUUCUGUCAUUGCUUCACUCAUUGUUUAGUACUGCCUCUCAUCUGUUCGACGAAAUGCUCGUGUAAAUGACUACACCUUGAAUACUGCAAUCAGAAAGGGAUUAUGCAGUGAGAAAAGGUUUCAACUUGCAAAGGAUUUAAGGGUCUGAUGAAUGUGCUUCCAUUUGUGUAAUGCUGGCCGUGUUGAUGAUGCAUUUUCUAUGCUGUGCACCAUGGAAGAAGAAGAAGAAGACACGGUUGCCGACUGUGUAACAUAUAAUGUCCUCAUUAAGGGAUUAUGCAAAGGUAAAAAAGUUCCAACUUGCAAAGAAGGGCAGACAGAGGAGGCUAAGAAUUUGUUCACAUCUAUGGUAAACAAUGGUUGUUUGUCUAAUGUUCUUGUUGGGGGUUUUCUCAAAAGGAACAAUAUAGAAACCAUUGUUAAGAAUGGAAGAGAAUUCACACACGAUGCCACCACUGUUUUGAUGAUGGGAGGUUUGAGGUACACUAGUUUCAGGAAAUUGGUUUUUGAUUUGAGGAAUUCAAGAUGAGAGUUUAUGCAAUAUCAUCUGCUUCUGGUGUUGAUGGUCUGGUUAGAUGAAUUAUGUCAUGCUUUUCUAGAAUUUUCGACAUAUUUCAAUAUAUUCUCGUUGCUUCGUUUUUGCAUGGUUGUCUUGGAAACAUGGGAAAUACAGAGAUCAGUUAUGUCAUGCUCUUUCUAUCUGGCUUAACAUCAGCGGAUGGGCUAUGCUCGCAUCCUUCGGUUUAUGGCUGCAGCAGGCCAGGUACAUGGUAAUAUGUUAACACAAGAACUUGUUUAUUUUGAUUUCCCAAACUUGCCAUGUAUGCAUAUCAUGCUUGAUCGCGCUUCACCAGCGUGUGUGUCUUGAACGAGCUGGGAACGACAGAUGCUAAGGCACCAAAUUUGGGAGAAAGCCAGCUUAAACUUGUGUUGUAGAGUCUGUAUCAUCAAAUUUAUGUUUCCAAGUAUAAUUAUGAUGGAUGGAAAUGUACCAAGGUCAACUGACCUAAGAAACAUUCACACGUGGACCCCUGCCCACCGGCUCGAGUCAAAGCAAGCCGGAGCCGAGGGUGGUACAAGGGGAGCAUAAAAAUUGAACAACGAGCAUUCUUCGCCUUAAACAAGAAGCAUUGAAGAAUAAGGGGUCUAUACUGUCGGACGUCCUCAAUCAUCGAAAUGAAGUUGAGCAUCGUGGAAUGCAUAUCCCCACAAUGCACUAUAAUUAUUGGCACCUCACGCCAAAUGCCUUUAAAACGAGCAUGUUGCUCCACACCAUUUCCAAUAUUGUCAAUAUAUAUAUUUUUCAUUCAUUAAUGUUUUAGCUAUUUUUUAAGUGUGUUAAAAAUAUAAAGUUUUUAGCU
Salvia splendens (bonfire salvia) is the source of this 1629-nucleotide long non-coding RNA. RefSeq lists it as uncharacterized. The record is from RefSeq and is a predicted model, not a curated record. NCBI's taxonomy places the organism in Eukaryota, Viridiplantae, Streptophyta, Magnoliopsida, Lamiales, Lamiaceae. The transcript has 2 exons.